Pelobates cultripes (western spadefoot toad) is the source of this 288-nucleotide non-coding RNA. Lineage: Eukaryota; Metazoa; Chordata; Amphibia; Anura; Pelobatidae. The record is from the annotation of a GenBank genome assembly.
CUGCCACUGCUGCCAGUUCAGAUUUUAUCUCGUCUAAAUUGGCCUUUAAGCUGGUGUGUAGCAAAGAGACCGUAAUCAAAUCUUUGUCAGGAUUUUUUAUACCCUCUGACUCCAUACUUUCUGAGCUGAGGUCCAUUUCAUUCAUCUUCUGUUUAAGGGUCUUAUGUUGCUGAGGAGAGAAGUAAGUAGUUAAAGAUGUAUCCUGUAUCUUUUCCUGUACAGAGUCUUUUUUAUCCUUACUCACAGAGGAUUUUGUUUUGUGUGAUUUUUUCGUGGCCAUAAUAUAGU